RNAcentral lists this ribosomal RNA (301 nucleotides) under uncultured bacterium. RNAcentral describes it as "partial 16S ribosomal RNA". It matches the Rfam family "Bacterial small subunit ribosomal RNA", at positions 509 to 807 of the family's 1533-position model. The record is from RNAcentral.
CAGUAGCCGCGGGAAUACGUAGGUCCCGAGCGUUGUCCGGAAUUAUUGGGCGUAAAGGGCUCGCAGGCGGUUUCUUAAGUCUGAUGUGAAAGCCCCCGGCUCAACCGGGGAGGGUCAUUGGAAACUGGGAAACUUGAGUGCAGAAGAGGAGAGUGGAAUUCCACGUGUAGCGGUGAAAUGCGUAGAGAUGUGGAGGAACACCAGUGGCGAAGGCGACUCUCUGGUCUGUAACUGACGCUGAGGAGCGAAAGCGUGGGGAGCGAACAGGAUUAGAUACCCCAGUAGUCCCUGUCUCUUAUAC